GAAACUGUAAAAUAAAGGCCAGACAACAUUAAAUAAGGCACGGUGGAGGCCACCGUAGCGCAGAGGUUAGCAUGUCCGCCUAUGACGCUGAGCGCCUGGGUUCGAAUCCUGGCGAGACAAUUAGAAAAAAAUUUCAGUGGUGGUUUUCCUAAUGCGGGCAACAUUUGUGAGGGAAUCAUCAUGAUAAAGAUUAUCAAGACUACACUUAACACAUGGUUCUUCAUUAAACUGGACGGGUAUGACUGCAGAUCAUUUCUAACGAAGUUUUUUUCUAGGUUUUAAAAUACUGUAUUCAACCAGUUGCGAAAAGUCAAUAUGGAAUUAUCUUCAUCAUCAACACAUCUUAAUGAUAGUAAUCAACAUGAACUUAUGGCAUUGAUACAAAAUGGCAAACUGUUUUACAGGUCAGCAUGUGUUGAAAAUUCAGCAAAACCUCGUCAUUGUCGUGAGUAAGCCUCUUAAUUUUGAUUCUUGUUGGACAUAUUCAGG
Long non-coding RNA from Stomoxys calcitrans (stable fly), 489 nucleotides. RefSeq lists it as uncharacterized. The record is from RefSeq and is a predicted model, not a curated record. NCBI's taxonomy places the organism in Eukaryota, Metazoa, Arthropoda, Insecta, Diptera, Muscidae. The transcript is spliced from 4 exons.